GUACCUUUUGGUUCGGAACAACUGAGGGAAACUUCAGCUAAUACCGGAUAAGCCCUUACGGGGAAAGAUUUAUCGCCGAAAGAUCGGCCCGCGUCUGAUUAGCUAGUUGGUGAGGUAAUGGCUCACCAAGGCGACGAUCAGUAGCUGGUCUGAGAGGAUGAUCAGCCACAUUGGGACUGAGACACGGCCCAAACUCCUACGGGAGGCAGCAGUGGGGAAUAUUGGACAAUGGGCGCAAGCCUGAUCCAGCCAUGCCGCGUGAGUGAUGAAGGCCCUAGGGUUGUAAAGCUCUUUUGUGCGGGAAGAUAAUGACGGUACCGCAAGAAUAAGCCCCGGCUAACUUCGUGCCAGCAGCCGCGGUAAUACGAAGGGGGCUAGCGUUGCUCGGAAUCACUGGGCGUAAAGGGUGCGUAGGCGGGUCUUUAAGUCAGGGGUGAAAUCCUGGAGCUCAACUCCAGAACUGCCUUUGAUACUGAAGAUCUUGAGUUCGGGAGAGGUGAGUGGAACUGCGAGUGUAGAGGUGAAAUUCGUAGAUAUUCGCAAGAACACCAGUGGCGAAGGCGGCUCACUGGCCCGAUACUGACGCUGAGGCACGAAAGCGUGGGGAGCGAACAGGAUUAGAUACCCUGGUAGUCCACGCC
RNAcentral lists this ribosomal RNA (641 nucleotides) under Bradyrhizobium sp. UFLA06-08. RNAcentral's name for it is "bacterial SSU rRNA". It matches the Rfam family "Bacterial small subunit ribosomal RNA", at positions 126 to 801 of the family's 1533-position model. Lineage: Bacteria; Pseudomonadati; Pseudomonadota; Alphaproteobacteria; Hyphomicrobiales; Nitrobacteraceae. The record is from RNAcentral.